RNAcentral lists this long non-coding RNA (600 nucleotides) under Homo sapiens (human). RNAcentral describes it as "long non-coding RNA NONHSAT030018". The record is from RNAcentral. Lineage: Eukaryota; Metazoa; Chordata; Mammalia; Primates; Hominidae.
UGACACAGUAGAAAUUGGUUAAUACGUCACAUUUUACAUCACUAUUUUGUAGAAGAUUUUUAGUAAGUUUCUCUAUUUUUAUUCCUUGCCACUCUGGAUUUUACAAAUAUUCUGACCUAGUUGAUCCAUCACAUGGUCUCAUAUCACAACUGUUGCAUCGCUAUAUUCACAUAGAUGUUUUUCUGUUUAAUUUAGAAGACAGUAUUUCUGAAAAAGUAUGAAACGACCCCAAAUCCAAAAGUUAUGGUGCACAAUGAAAAUGUAUGCUUUUAAUAAUGCUGGCUUCUGCAGUAGGUGUAGACCAUGUUUCAAAUAACCACAGACUAAUCAGAAACUCCACCUGUGAAAGGAACUUGAAAUUGUGCUAUUCCUCCAAGCUUAUAACACCAGCAAAUUGGGUCAAUAGGUUAUUCCUUUAAAAUAGGACUAUGAGCCUACAGAGGCUCACUCUGAAGAACUCAGCCGUGGAGUUAGUUCUGUACUAUAUCCAUCACAACAGACAUGCUUCAUCCCAUAGACUUCUUGACAUAGCUUGAAAUGAGUGAACCCAUCCUUGAUUUAUAUACAUAUAUGUUCUCAGUAUUUUGGGAGCCUUUCCAC